RNAcentral lists this unclassified non-coding RNA (479 nucleotides) under Phoma sp. B16. RNAcentral's name for it is "sequence contains ITS1, 5.8S rRNA gene, ITS2". The stretch from base 108 to 261 matches the Rfam family "5.8S ribosomal RNA". The record is from RNAcentral. Lineage: Eukaryota; Fungi; Ascomycota; Dothideomycetes; Pleosporales; Didymellaceae.
CCAUGUCUUUUGAGUACCUUCGUUUCCUCGGUGGGUUCNCCCGCCGGUUGGACAACACUUAAACCCUUUGUAAUUGAAAUCAGCGUCUGAAAAAACUUAAUAGUUACAACUUUCAACAACGGAUCUCUUGGUUCUGGCAUCGAUGAAGAACGCAGCGAAAUGCGAUAAGUAGUGUGAAUUGCAGAAUUCAGUGAAUCAUCGAAUCUUUGAACGCACAUUGCGCCCCUUGGUAUUCCAUGGGGCAUGCCUGUUCGAGCGUCAUUUGUACCUUCAAGCUCUGCUUGGUGUUGGGUGUUUGUCUCGCCUCUGCGCGCAGACUCGCCUCAAAACGAUUGGCAGCCGGCGUAUUGAUUUCGGAGCGCAGUACAUCUCGCGCUUUGCACUCAGAACGACGACGUCCAAAAAGUACAUUUUUACACUCUUGACCUCGGAUCAGGUAGGGAUACCCGCUGAACUUAAGCAUAUCAUUAAGCGGAGGA